CAGCAUGGCGGUCAGGCCCCGCCCCCCUAGUCUGAGUUUUUUAGAGCAAUAUGUAGGGUCUGCACCCAAUGAAGGUGCAAUCCACAAGCUCCCCCAGAAGGGGAUUCUUGGCCUUUAAGAGAGAUCUCUGAUCUCCGCAUUGACCCAUGAAGGGAUAGUGCACAUACUUUAAGACAACGCUUUGGUAACGUCAGUCCUAGAUGGACCGGUCAAGGAGAUCCUUUGAGCUCCUCCAUUGGCCUCAGCCCAGGCUAUAGAGAUCCACUGGGCAUUUUUUUUUACCUGAUUGCCAGUCCAGAUCUGCUGUGUACGCUAAAACAGACAAAUGCUUUAAAGAAAAGAAACAAGAUGGGACAUAUCAAUAAAAUAUAUAUCACUCCUGGACUGCUGAAACCAUGGCGCAGACCACCAUAUCAGGAAGACAUCGUGAUCCUGCAGGGUAACGGCUG
Molecule: non-coding RNA, 449 nt
Organism: Pelobates cultripes (western spadefoot toad)
Lineage: Eukaryota; Metazoa; Chordata; Amphibia; Anura; Pelobatidae
Source: the annotation of a GenBank genome assembly